UGCAAAUGCUGUAGUUGACAUAGUUGUGGAUAUUCCAGGUGGGAUAACACAAUGGGUUUUCUGCCUCGCACUGGGACAUGGACGUGUUGCUUUUGGCUGUACAAAUGCCUGUUUCAUUUGUGCUGCACAGUGAGCAGUGCCUGUGCACACUGUGGAAUCUGGUUCACCCCGUGUCAGUUUGUCUUCGAACGGGGAUACUCUUGUGUUUGUUACUGUGUGGAGCAGACAGGAAAUGGAGCACUAUGCUUUGGAGGAAAGGACAGACAUACACUGCAUUUAUGGAGUGGUGGAUGGAAAUGCUCAUACUGCCCAACAUUUGUACGUUUGGUGGUUUCCAAAUCAUCGAGUGCAAGAUAUAUGUACAUCUACUGCCACCCACAGGUUCCUAAGAGAGACACAUUCAUUUGAGGUGUGAAGGCCUGGCAGAUGCAGUCAUCAGUGUACAGUGCAUACACCAGAGCUCGCAGAGGAGCGCUAGCACUGCUGGAAAACACACCCUCAAUAAGCUCACAGUGUGUUGCAUGGGAAAUGGGUGUAAGCCAUUCUACCAUUUGGCAUACGCGGCAUGAAGAUGGUUUGCACCUCUGCUGUCUUUGGAAGGUUCAAGCCCUUAACCCAGAUGAUUUUCAAUGUUGAAUUGAAUUCUGUCCAUGGUUUUUGCAAAGGUGUGACAUUUGACCAGACUUUUUGAACUGUUUACAUUUCACGGAUGAGGCAUCCCUUACACGAGAGGGUGUGUUCAACAGCUGUGAUCAACAUAUGUAGGCCCAGGAAAAUCUACACACCACCUUUGUUUGUGGUCACCAAGAUGGCUUUGCUGUCAACAUUUGGGCUGGCUAGAGUAUCCAUCAAUGUGCCUGCUGCAGUCACCACAGAUGUGUACUGCAGAGAGAUCAGCAAUGCGAGUUGCCAAAUCCACUGCAAGGUCUGGCCGACGCAAGAGUGUUUACAAGCAAGUAGCACAGUUGACAACAAGCACAUAGGUGUGGCCAACAUCCGUAAGAGGGCAUCAACCAGCAGCAAAGAAAGGGGAUGUGAUAAUCAGCGAACUGUUUCCUUGCGAUCAUAUGUGUUCAAGUAGUCCUGUAAAUACCCUUCUGCCCAGGGCUAGAUAAUCCGGCGCCCAGCCAUUCAGCAGGCAGUUCUCGAUUCGCUGAGUGUGGAGUAGAUUGGCCGGUCCAGUGGUGUGCCGCCUCGACCAUCCUCUCUUCCGCAAUGAUUGUGAUAAGUUGCUUCUGUUGUAUUAGACCAUCUACCAGCUGCUAACAGCCACUCUGAUGGGAACAGUUGUAUGGGUAUAGAGUCAAAGAGAACUCUGAUUAUAGGAAUUAGUUGUUAUUUACUUGAUCCGCAGAAGGGAUCCUUAUUGCUUUUUAGUUUUGAAGUGUGUUUUACUGUUGGUGGUAGUUUCCUUCAUAAAAAAAAGGGUUGGCAAAAUGA
Molecule: long non-coding RNA, 1440 nt
Organism: Schistocerca gregaria
Lineage: Eukaryota; Metazoa; Arthropoda; Insecta; Orthoptera; Acrididae
Exons: 3
Source: RefSeq, a predicted model, not a curated record